AAAAAAAACACAAACCCCACCCCCAACACGAACCUGCUCCGUGCUCACACACGAAGCCGCUCCCGGCGGCCACCGCCGCAACCCCUUGCGAGCGCCGCCCCACCGCCGAGACCGCUCGCUCAUCCCCGCGCGACCUCCUCAGCCCCGCGCGUGCGCCGCCCCACCUCCACAUCGCCGAGCCGCGCGCGAAACCGUUGAUGCGCCGGCUCGAACUCGCUGUCCCCAUUUCUCCGGACGCCGGGGACGCAGAUGCCGCCGAAGCCAUCGUGUGCGCGUCGGGGACGCAGCAUCCGCUGCCUCCAUUCCUCUGCGUGGCCUUCGAUGCACAUCCUUAAUUUCUCCAGUAGGAACCACCAUGUAAAAAACUCAAACCCUUCGUUUUCUGUUGUUGCCGCCAUUGGAGGUGCUGUGCCACUAGGACGAUGAGGUAUACGAGGUAUGAGCUCGAGGCGCUCUCAGCGGGGCGCCGUCGUGGGGGGCGCAGGCGAUUCGGUGGGCCGAGGUGCACUCCGCGCUCCCCGCCGCCGGCUUCUCCGGGGAGUACUGGUGCUGCUCGCCACCGACACGCCGGUGAGUGGGAGUAAGGCUUCCCGCGGCGGGACGAAGGGCCCCGAAGCGGCAACGCCCCAGUUCCAAUUGAGUAAAUCCCAGCCGCGGAGCACCGACAUUUACGAUUGAUGGCACUGGAACGAUGCUCAGGCUGAACUUGAAAAUAAGGAGGGCUCGGCUAUUUCCAUGUUUUUGUGCUGGCCAGCAAUGCCGCUUAAUUGUUCUUUUUUGACGCUUCUGUUUAAUUGUUCUUGGAUGGUGGAUGGUGAAAUCUUGUUUUGAUAAGUAGUUCUUGUGCUAAUUGAUUCUUCUAUUUAGUGUGAUAGCAUAUUUUGUUGCAAGUGUAAAAUCUGGGGAGAUGUGAGGAUGAUUUCUUGGCAGUGGUUGCUGUGAUAUUUGACAAGAAAUCUUGGAAGCCAAGAUGUAUCGGUUUUCUUUUCAGUGUAAAUGAAUGGUGUCAUACGAGAUUUUAAGCUGAAUAUCUGCUCGGAACUACUUAUCUGGACAUACAUUAUCUGCAUCCUUGGUCACUUUUAUAUAAAACCAUUGAUAUCUUACUCUGGAGAAUGAUUGAAGUUUGAGCUUUUAGCCAUCUAAAAGGCUGAAAGUGGCUCUGAAGCCUCAAAACUUAAUUCAUGUAAAUAUCUGCCAAGGGCGGCCGUACUGCCCGAGGAUUUAUAUACCUCAAUUUUUCAACCUGUUAGUCCUUUCACCUUGCUAUCUGAAAUGUGUGAUCUUGAUGCUAAUUUCAUGGAGAAGGAGAACUACAAAAAGUCAAUGUGAGACCCUAGCCUAAAAGGGAAAAUCGCUCUGUAGUCAUCUCUAGAACAAGGAGAACUACCAAAAUUUCAAGGGGGAGAGCCUGGCCUAAAAAGGUGAAAUCGCUCUGUAGUCAGCUCCGGAACAAGGUAUGUCAUGAAUCUUUCACACUUAUGAUUAUUGGGAGGUAUGGCCGUAUGACUAUUCUUGUACUUACCCAAUUUAUCUGGACGGAAAGUGGAAUUCGGAUUUUAGUGUUCUUGCUUUCUUUUUGUUUAUGUUAAAUUUUUUGGACCUGUUAGUGUAAUCAAGGCAAGAAAUAUUUGUUAGAGAAUCAUGUGGCAUCCUAGAGUGGAGGAAGAAUAUUAAGCAAAUGUUGGGAGUAGGCUGGUCUUUUAGUUUUCCUUGUUGAAAUUGUUGUAUGUAAAAUGUGAGGGAAUCAUGAGGUCAUGUCCUGGUUACUGCAAUAUUUUGGUAAUAGAGCCUGAAGUCAAAUGUUUUUGUCAGAAAGUUUAAUAUUGACACUAUUUCAAGACUGCAUAACUGGACAUCAUUUCUGUAAAUCAUUUUCUAUUUACCCAGAAUGCCAGUUCUGGGUACCAAUCAACCAAAUGGUGAAAAUUCUUGACCAAGUCCUAAGGCCCCGCUUGGAUUAUUGUAUUCCAAAAUACACCGGUAAAACAUACACCCUUAAAAUAAAGAUCCGGCUAGGGGUAGUCGUUUGGUUGGUCGUUUUUGAGUUACACCUGUAAUCAGCCGUGUUAUUUGAUACACUCCUCGGUCCGUCGUUUCCCCCCACCACCCGUAAUCCUCUCCUCUCUCUCGAGAUCUAGGCGACGUAGAGUGCUUUGCCGCAAUAACCACAAGGGACGGGGCAGACACUGGCGCCGGUGUCCGUGACAAGGUGAGGCGACGGCGAUGGGUUGAGGUGCGGGCAUUCGUGACGGGGUGAGGCGCCGGCGGCCGUGACCUUGACUGCAACGGCGACUCACUCCUACAAGCGGCCACGAUCCAACCUCCUCUCCCUCAACUCCAGUCCACUGUCUGGCAUCGAGUUCGUCACCGACGCGGACGCGGAUUUUUAGAGCACGGGCUCCUGGACACCUCCUAUCUUCACCAUCUAAUAUUGCUUUGAGAUUCGUGCUACACAACUAACUACAUGAAAACUUUCUCUUUUUUGUUUCUUCAAAACAAAACAACAAAUGAACUUGAAACUUUCCAGGACAACAAAACAUUCUUAGAACAAAGUGGGAUAAAACUUUCAGAUUUUUUUGUCCAAGAAAAAUAUAGAAAAUGAGAUUUUUUUAAUUGAAAAAAAAAAUUCUUAUUUUUAGUACUUAUGAUGCGCGAAAAAAUCUGAAAGUUUUUUCGCACAUUCUAGUAAGAAUGUUUUGUUGUGCUGAAAAGUUUGAAGUUCAUAUGUUAAACUAUAUGGGAGAAACAAAAAAGAGAAAAGUUCUUGCACGAAUCGCGAUGCAGAAUUGGAUUGCUAGAUAAGGGGGUGUCCAUGAGCCUAAGCUCCACAGGAUAUUUUCUGUCACCGAUGUCUGCUCCCCCUUCUUCCCCAAUACUUCUGGAUGGUCUCCAAACUGAACAACACAAGCUUUGUUGUUCUUAAAUUAGUCCUAAACAAUAAUCUUGUGUUUGGUAGCAUUUGGCAGUUCUUGAGUCAAUUCUAGGCAUAAUCUUGCCAUGCUUUAUGAUUCAGAUGGAAUGCCGUGAGAUGUGGAGCUAGUGUUCAUAAUUAACAUCAUCUGGUUGAGCCAAGUACUUGACUAACUUGGGUAGUUGAGCUGACUGGUAAAAGGAAAUAAAUGUCAAUGUAAUUGUAAUGUUAACCUGCAUAUGGCAUCUUUGCAUGUUUACUUGUGAUGCCAACUGAUGACCACCACUUGGGUUAAGAACUUAAGAUGAUUAUAAGCUUCGUGGUGAGCUGGUCAAGAUUCAACAUAUUUAUGUUUGUCGCAAUCUCAAAUAUUAACUUCUACUCCAAGCACACACAUGGUUUGAUUUAUAUGCAUUUGAUUAAGUCGUAGCACUGCUUGACAAUCGUAAUAUUCUAUGGUUGUUACCAUGGGAAUCAAUGCAGAAGAUAGCCAGCGGGUAGCUGAUAUGCCUGAAUUGCAAGUUAGCCUCUUUCCCUAUCAAUUAACUUGAAAUUGCAAGUUAGCUUCUUUCCCUAUCAAGAGAGAAAGGGCAGCAGGCUGUUCACCGCCCUGCAUCCGCCGCCAACCAUCGCCCACAUCCGCCUCCGGCCGUGGCCUACACAUCUCCACCGGUUCCUCUCACAUCUCUUUUCCCACACACCACAUCCCCUUUCCCUCGCUGGAGCUCCCCGCUGACUUCAACGACCUGCAGCGGCUGCCCCUGCUCUAGGUCUGCCGCCACCAGACCUCCUGGUCGUCGUAUAGAGUGGCAACUCCAAUGGCCAAGCGACCGAAGAGAUCAAGUGACAGUUAGAUAAAUUCUUGGUACAUAGGACUGAUAUGAACUUCUUUUCUACCAGGAUAAAAAAAUUAGCAUGCUUUAUUUAUCGAAGAAAUAAACUCUAUGUUAAACCGUGACUCAUUUUUCACACAAAUUUAAAUUUUAUGAAUAAUUUCUUUGCACUAAAUACAAUGUAGAACAUUUAAUUUCUGUGUGGAGAUGAGCCCACAUUUUUAUGUGCACAUUGGUAGCGUUUUCCCAUUUGAGCAUGAUUUCUAUAGUGCAUGAUGUCUAUUUGCAAGUCUAUUCUUAUGAACUACUAUGAUGCAUCUCAUAUUUCUUUGUCCUGAUAGGUGAUUGUGGUGCUAUAUAUUUGGACAAAGAGAUUGUAUGCAUUCAUCUAUCUGAGCUUAUUUUUAGAGUAACUGGUAUGUUCUCAACAUCCCUUUGAACGCAGCAGUGACAAGACAAGACGGGUCUAUCAACAGAAAGACAACCUCUCAUAACAUGGUGCAUAUUUUGUUAGCAAGGUAGUAUAUGUUGUUAAGUCAUGGAAGUUAUCAACUCUGAGUUGUCCAUUCUUAAAGGACCAUAACUGGUAUGCCAAAUGAUAACAUUACUCUUAAUGUGGUUGUGCAAGCGUUAUGCAUUUUACCAGUUACCUUCUCCCGUUUACUUUUUUCAAACCAAAAGGUUAUCUUAUCCUCUGAAUUUUUUGCACUUAAUUACUGAUUUGGAAUAAUAGAUAUAGUGUUGUACUGUACUGGAAUGCUCUUCUAUUAGCAUAACAGUCCAUGGUAAAAUGGCUAUGAGAAGUCGAUGUCUUUUGAGAUUUUUAGGAACACUCAUUUAAGUAGACCUUGCGGCCAUGGAGGGAACCCGAUGAUAAAGACAUGAAUUUGCUUGCAAUCUCGGUAUUAUGUAUGCAUACUUCCUGACUGCUUAUAGGAUAUUAACA
This is a long non-coding RNA of Triticum aestivum (bread wheat), 4693 nucleotides long. RefSeq lists it as uncharacterized. The record is from RefSeq and is a predicted model, not a curated record. The transcript is spliced from 3 exons. NCBI's taxonomy places the organism in Eukaryota, Viridiplantae, Streptophyta, Magnoliopsida, Poales, Poaceae.